CACGUAGCCUCCUGUAGUGGAUAUCAGGAGUAUUUUAGAGCCAGAUUCCUUUCAAGAGAUCUGAUCCAGAAUCAGUUGAACGUAACGCUCACACAGACGAUAUGAUGUUGUUUACUGCUGCAGCAGUUAAUUGUUAAAUGAGGCGGUGGCGGCGUGCUAUUGUUCCUGUUCCUGUUUACAUGCGGCGUUCUGACAGCUUCUGAAUCGGGUUGGUGUCCACCACGCUGGAGGAGGUCCUCGUGUCACGCCAUCCUUUAAUGAGAGUCUAUAAACACAGACUGAUCCUAGACCAGCAUCUCCACCACCUCCACAAAGAGAGCGUUCUUCAUCCCGUCAUGCUGACUGCUGUGACCCCCCCCCCUUCACAUGUUCACCCGAAUUAUGUCUGAAUCCUGAAAACAGCUGAAACCAGGUCAGAGUGUUCACAUCCAGACCAGAGUCCAGCUGAGAUCCACUGACCUCCAUCUUCCUCUUCUUCAUCUACAGAGCUCUUAUUCAACGAUCAGCUGUAAUUAAUCUGGAGAAUGAAGCUACUAGAACGACGCCAGAGAAGAUGUCGGGCUGUGAUGGUGAUAGAAUGAGUACGGCUAAAACUAAUGCAGUCAAACACGGCAGCCCAAACCUCAGUGAUUAAAACAAUUAGGUGUACAAAACAUAAGAAUGUGCACGGUGUUUAGCGUCCAAUAAGAACGCCUUUCUUGAUUUCCGUGUGUGAUUUG
Long non-coding RNA from Sebastes umbrosus (honeycomb rockfish), 719 nucleotides. RefSeq lists it as uncharacterized. The transcript has 3 exons. The record is from RefSeq and is a predicted model, not a curated record. NCBI's taxonomy places the organism in Eukaryota, Metazoa, Chordata, Actinopteri, Perciformes, Sebastidae.